RNAcentral lists this ribosomal RNA (464 nucleotides) under uncultured bacterium. RNAcentral's name for it is "partial 16S ribosomal RNA". It matches the Rfam family "Bacterial small subunit ribosomal RNA", at positions 339 to 795 of the family's 1533-position model. The record is from RNAcentral.
CUACGGGUGGCAGCAGUGGGGAAUAUUGCACAAUGGGGGAAACCCUGAUGCAGCAACGCCGCGUGAGUGAAGAAGGUCUUCGGAUUGUAAAUCUCUUUCGACAGGGAAGAAGGGUGUCGACAUUAAUACUGCCGAUAUUUGACGGUACCUGCAGAAGAAGCACCGGCUAAUUCCGUGCCAGCAGCCGCGGUAAUACGGAAGGUGCAAGCGUUGUUCGGAUUGACUGGGCGUAAAGCGCACGUAGGCUGGCCAAAAAGUCGGAUGUGAAAUCCCCGGGCUUAACCUGGGAACUGCAUCCGAACUGCUGGUCUUGAAGACCGAAGGGGUUGGUGGAAUUCCAGGUGUAGGAGUGAAAUCCGUAGAUAUCUGGAGGAACACCGGCGGCGAAGGCGGCCAACUGGUGGUGUAUUGACGCUGAGGUGCGAAAGCGUGGGGAGCAAACAGGAUUAGAUACCCGAGUAGUC